This 207-nucleotide ribosomal RNA is filed under the name uncultured bacterium. Its description in RNAcentral is "partial 16S ribosomal RNA". It matches the Rfam family "Bacterial small subunit ribosomal RNA", at positions 568 to 774 of the family's 1533-position model. The record is from RNAcentral.
UGCGUAGGUGGCGCCGUCAGUGGGGUGUGAAAUUUCGGAGCUUAACUCCGAAACUGCAUUCCAUACUGCGGUGCUCGAGGACUGGAGAGGAGACUGGAAUUCAUGGUGUAGCAGUGAAAUGCGUAGAGAUCAUGAGGAAGACCAGUGGCGAAGGCGGGUCUCUGGACAGUUCCUGACACUGAGGCACGAAGGCUAGGGGAGCGAACG